UUUUUUUUUCAUUUGUUUUCAAUCAAAUAUAUUCUUUUUCCAUAGCCUCUCACCCCUUUCUUUUCCUCACCCUCCCCCUUCUUUUCAUCCGCACCAAACCCUAGCACUUUUGGCACAAAAACUCAUUCAUUCCAAGAGCAUAGCCUCCUCCGCCCAAGGGAGGAGCUGAAAUCUUAGCCCAUGGAUGCUCCAUUCUCAGGUUUCUCGAGUGCUCUUGUUUUAAGAGGUUGAGUUCCCUGUCCUUGAAUCUGAGGCAUUGUUCAUUAGAAAAGUAGGGGAGGAGAUCACUCAGCAGUUGUACAAUUUUGAGGAUAAGGGUGGUCAUCAUGUUGUAUUGAGGUCUGAAAUCACUCCUUCCUUGGCUAGGCUUGUAAGCAAGCAAGGGUAUCAAUACAUAAGUUAAAAGAAACCUAUGUUGUUAAAAGAAGAAAGUUCUCUCAUCCCUUUUUUCUCUAUGUUACUGUUGAUAUACAUAUAUGAUACAUCUAUUGAAAAUUGAAGUGAGAUAAUUUUCAAGUACAUGUUUCCAUCCAAUCAAAUUGUAGCAUGUGCUAAUGCUA
Long non-coding RNA from Dioscorea cayenensis subsp. rotundata (Guinea yam), 560 nucleotides. RefSeq lists it as uncharacterized. The transcript is spliced from 3 exons. The record is from RefSeq and is a predicted model, not a curated record. Lineage: Eukaryota; Viridiplantae; Streptophyta; Magnoliopsida; Dioscoreales; Dioscoreaceae.